UGAAUUAUGUUUUUAUACUUAGCAAUCUCCUCACGCCAAAGGUUGACGUAUUGUUUAAAGUCAAGAUGGUAGAAUUUAAACUUGUAGUAACCACCACACCAGAAGAUGCUAGCUUUAAAGCAUUUGUUUGGAGAAAGAUAAGUCUAUCCUUGCGACAACAACAAAUCUCUUGGAAGCCCUGGUUAACCUUAUAUCAUGCAGAUUGUUAUUGAUGUAUUUGAUGCCAACUAUCCUCACUCUAUAUUUGAUAUGUUUAUGGCAAAUAGCCUAAUUGGACAUUUCUAUUACAAAUUGCUUACUUUAUCUGAUUGCAACAAUAUUUAUCCCAUUUGGAACUGGAGUUUAUUUAAGAUAGAUGUGUAGAUGAAAAUGUCUUAAUGAAGAAAAGACUGAAGCCUAGACUAGUGCGAUUAUAAUGGAUGUUAAUCUCGCAAAUAUGGCGUUGUAUUUUACUGCCAUAUUAAUAACUGUAUGAAAACGUCUGAUAUGAACAAUUUGCAUUCAUUUGUUAUAUUUGCAUGUUCUAAUGUAGAAUAUUUUAAUGUAUUGCACAGCAGACCUUACAAGGCCG
Non-coding RNA from Paramuricea clavata, 571 nucleotides. Lineage: Eukaryota; Metazoa; Cnidaria; Anthozoa; Malacalcyonacea; Plexauridae. The record is from the annotation of a GenBank genome assembly.